Molecule: ribosomal RNA, 399 nt
Filed under: uncultured Oscillospiraceae bacterium
Lineage: Bacteria; Bacillati; Bacillota; Clostridia; Eubacteriales; Oscillospiraceae
Description: bacterial SSU rRNA
Rfam family: Bacterial small subunit ribosomal RNA
Source: RNAcentral
UGGGGAAUAUUGCGCAAUGGGGGAAACCCUGACGCAGCAACGCCGCGUGAUCGAAGAAGGUCUUCGGAUUGUAAAGAUCUUUUAUCAGGGACGAAGGAAGUGACGGUACCUGAUGAAUAAGCCACGGCUAACUACGUGCCAGCAGCCGCGGUAAUACGUAGGUGGCAAGCGUUAUCCGGAUUUACUGGGUGUAAAGGGCGCGUAGGCGGGGAUGCAAGUCAGAUGUGAAAUCUAUGGGCUCAACCCAUAAACUGCAUUUGAAACUGUAUCUCUUGAGUGUCGGAGAGGUAGAUGGAAUUCCUAGUGUAGCGGUGAAAUGCGUAGAUAUUAGGAGGAACACCAGUGGCGAAGGCGAUCUACUGGACGAUAACUGACGCUGAGGCGCGAAAGCGUGGGGAG